CGAAUGCUGACAUAAGUAACGAUAAAGCGGGUGAAAAGCCCGCUCGCCGGAAGACCAAGGGUUCCUGUCCAACGUUAAUCGGGGCAGGGUGAGUCGACCCCUAAGGCGAGGCCGAAAGGCGUAGUCGAUGGGAAACAGGUUAAUAUUCCUGUACUUGGUGUUACUGCGAAGGGGGGACGGAGAAGGCUAUGUUGGCCGGGCGACGGUUGUCCCGGUUUAAGCGUGUAGGCUGGUUUUCCAGGCAAAUCCGGAAAAUCAAGGCUGAGGCGUGAUGACGAGGCACUACGGUGCUGAAGCAACAAAUGCCCUGCUUCCAGGAAAAGCCUCUAAGCAUCAGGUAACAUCAAAUCGUACCCCAAACCGACACAGGUGGUCAGGUAGAGAAUACCAAGGCGCUUGAGAGAACUCGGGUGAAGGAACUAGGCAAAAUGGUGCCGUAACUUCGGGAGAAGGCACGCUGAUAUGUAGGUGAAGCGACUUGCUCGUGGAGCUGAAAUCAGUCGAAGAUACCAGC
This 514-nucleotide ribosomal RNA is filed under the name Escherichia coli. RNAcentral's name for it is "partial 23S ribosomal RNA". It matches the Rfam family "Bacterial large subunit ribosomal RNA", at positions 1291 to 1790 of the family's 2925-position model. The record is from RNAcentral. Lineage: Bacteria; Pseudomonadati; Pseudomonadota; Gammaproteobacteria; Enterobacterales; Enterobacteriaceae.